Molecule: ribosomal RNA, 468 nt
Filed under: uncultured bacterium
Lineage: Bacteria
Description: partial 16S ribosomal RNA
Rfam family: Bacterial small subunit ribosomal RNA
Source: RNAcentral
GACGAACGCUGGCGGCGUGCUUAACACAUGCAAGUCGAACGGAAAGGCACUGCCUUUGUGGUCUGACCGAGUGGCGAACGGGUGAGUAACACGUGAGUAACCUGCCCUAGACUUUGGGAUAACUUCAGGAAACGGGGGCUAAUACCGGAUAGGAGACCCUGCUGCAUGGUGGGGGUCGGAAAGUUUCGGCGGUCGGGGAUGGACUCGCGGCUUAUCAGCUUGUUGGUGGGGUAGUGGCUUACCAAGGCAUUGACGGGUAGCCGGCCUGAGAGGGUGACCGGCCACAUUGGGACUGAGAGACGGCCCAGACUCCUACGGGAGGCAGCAGUGGGGAAUAUUGCACAAUGGGCGGAAGCCUGAUGCAGCGACGCCGCGUGCGGGAUGACGGCCUUCGGGUUGUAAACCGCUUUCGGCUGUGACGAAGCGAUAGUGACGGUACCGGGUGAAGAAGCACCGGCUAACUACGUG